UUCCAGACUCCUACGGGAGGCAGCAGUGGGGAAUAUUGCACAAUGGGGGAAACCCUGAUGCAGCGACGCCGCGUGAGCGAGGAAGUAUUUCGGUAUGUAAAGCUCUGUCAGCAGGGAAGAAGAAUGACGGUACCUGAAGAAGAAGCACCGGCUAAAUACGUGCCAGCAGCCGCGGUAAUACGUAUGGUGCAAGCGUUAUCCGGAUUUACUGGGUGUAAAGGGAGCGCAGGCGGUUCUGCAAGUCUGAUGUGAAAGCCCGGGGCUCAACCGCGGGACUGCAUUGGAAACUGCGGGACUGGAGUGUCGGAGGGGUAAGCGGAAUUCCUGGUGUAGCGGUGAAAUGCGUAGAUAUCAGGAGGAACACCGGUGGCGAAGGCGGCUUACUGGACGAUGACUGACGCUGAGGCUCGAAAGCGUGGGGAGCAAACAGGAUUAGAUACCCUUGUAA
RNAcentral lists this ribosomal RNA (448 nucleotides) under uncultured bacterium. Its description in RNAcentral is "bacterial SSU rRNA". It matches the Rfam family "Bacterial small subunit ribosomal RNA", at positions 329 to 793 of the family's 1533-position model. The record is from RNAcentral.